GAUGUUGUUGGACUACAGUUCCAAGCAGUCCUUGCCACACAGCCAAUCAUGACAAAGGCUGGGAGUUACAGCACAACUACACCUGGAAGCCCAUGUAAUUUCCAUCCCUGAUUUAACUUCAACUGCCAGCUUCAACUGGAGUGGUCCCAUUGAAUCAAAUGGAAUGGCACAGUGGGCACUGUGGAACUCCUCUGGUUGUGAUUUAAACCUUCAUUAGUUAAAGUUAAAGUGAGAAUAUUUUGGAAAAAAUCUUACAUGAAAAACAGCUGGAACAAUUUGACCUUUUAAUUGUAAGUUAAAAUGGUAUGAAGCCAAAAUGAAUAUGAAUACAGGAAGAUGAAACAUGAUACAGUUUCGAGACAGAGAAAAGGUUUUUGGCUGAUCAAAAACAGGAAAUGACAGAAGUCUCAUGAGAAUGCCAGUCUCAAAAUAUUUCCAACCCAGUAAGUAUUAUAUGAUUAUGUGAAUGCAGUAGCCUCAGAAGCCUUUCGGGCCUGCCUAUUCCUAGUAUAAAUGUGGAAAAACACCACUGGUUGUAUCAAUAUAUGGUGUAUAUUUUAUUAUAAUUACAGGAACAGUUACUCAGCAGGACAUCAUUCUACUGUUUAAGGGGUUUCCAUUGGUAGCCAGCCGAGGGAAACCUGGUAGUUGCAAAGCCGUCUGUACAUUUGCUGGCGAGAGCUACGAGGACUUCUUUGGCUGCCACCAACCGAGGGAGGCUC
This 722-nucleotide long non-coding RNA is filed under the name Anolis carolinensis (green anole). RNAcentral describes it as "lncRNA (ENSACAG00000038165.1)". Lineage: Eukaryota; Metazoa; Chordata; Lepidosauria; Squamata; Anolidae. The record is from RNAcentral.